RNAcentral lists this small nuclear RNA (147 nucleotides) under Triticum aestivum (bread wheat). RNAcentral's name for it is "partial small subunit ribosomal RNA". The stretch from base 18 to 147 matches the Rfam family "U1 spliceosomal RNA", at positions 1 to 134 of the family's 166-position model. From Rfam's summary of the family: U1 is a small nuclear RNA (snRNA) component of the spliceosome (involved in pre-mRNA splicing). Its 5' end forms complementary base pairs with the 5' splice junction, thus defining the 5' donor site of an intron. Lineage: Eukaryota; Viridiplantae; Streptophyta; Magnoliopsida; Poales; Poaceae. The record is from RNAcentral.
AGGUGCGUCCUUGCAACAUACUUACCUGGACGGGGUCGAUGGCUGAUCAAGAAGGGCCAUGGCCUAGAUCAAUGGCUCACAUUGCAUUUGGUGAGUGUGUUGGUCUACCAUCUCCUCAAGUGGGAGAGUGGAUGUCGUAAUUUGUGA